Long non-coding RNA from Glossina fuscipes, 859 nucleotides. RefSeq lists it as uncharacterized. Lineage: Eukaryota; Metazoa; Arthropoda; Insecta; Diptera; Glossinidae. The transcript is spliced from 4 exons. The record is from RefSeq and is a predicted model, not a curated record.
AAUAAUCUACGGUCAGCAUUUAUUUUUAUUAUAGGGUGAAAUGAGAUAUCUGUGGGAGAUGUUUAUGGUAGGGUGCCAUUGGAUAUCGGUCUAUUUAUCGUAAUUGUGAGGGUGGUUCGUAAGUUUGUUCUUUUUAUUAGGAUGGUCCUUAACUCUUCCCCCUUUAGAACCGAUUGUCCUUCGAGAUUAAAAAUACGGAAUGUCGUUGAACUUCAAUGGGGUUCUACGACCCUUGCGUUCCACAGUUCUUAAAGGUAUGUCGUCGGAUCGGACUUGUUCCAUUAUUGGAUUAUUCACUAUUGUUUUGGUACUAUUUUUCCUACUUUUAUAGGCUAGGAUUAUAAUCAUUAUUCUGAUCCCGAUUACAAAUCCCCAGGUUGAGUAUUGGUGGACAACGGAUUUGAGAGACGAAACGUUUGCGCUCCUUCUCUUCAGGCAUUAACUGAAGUAUGGAAGGUAGUACCUUGUAGGAACGUUCCGUUAAGGAGUUGUUGUUCCGUUUCUACCUCGAAGGUGCCGGAAAAUCCGUUUAAUAAGAUUAUACCGGAAGAUAUUUCGUCUAUAACCGGAAAAUGCUGACUGUUUACAAUAUUGCAAGUACGUUUUUUACUAUUUAAUAAGUUUGGAAUACAAUUGGUGUUUGUUAUAUUAAUAAGGUCUUGCCUUUUACAAACAAUUAGAUUCUGAUAUGAUUUGCAUUUAUUAAGUAUCGUGAAUAUCUCGUCCUUUGAAUUUAUGCUGGUUUCUGAUUGAAGAUCGGUUGCCGUGUUAUCAUUUCUUUUUACGGCUUUUAGAAGAAUAGUUUCAUAAAUCUGUUCACUGGUUAUUGGAAUAUUGAUAAUAUAGAGGAUUGAGAUAG